RNAcentral lists this ribosomal RNA (253 nucleotides) under uncultured bacterium. RNAcentral's name for it is "partial 16S ribosomal RNA". It matches the Rfam family "Bacterial small subunit ribosomal RNA", at positions 524 to 776 of the family's 1533-position model. The record is from RNAcentral.
UACAGAGGUCUCGAGCGUUGUUCGGAUUCAUUGGGCGUAAAGGGUGCGUAGGCGGCGCGGUAAGUCGGGUGUGAAAUCUCGGAGCUUAACUCCGAAACUGCAUUCGAUACUGCCGUGCUUGAGGACUGGAGAGGAGACUGGAAUUCAUGGUGUAGCAGUGAAAUGCGUAGAGAUCAUGAGGAAGACCAGUGGCGAAGGCGGGUCUCUGGACAGUUCCUGACACUGAGGCACGAAGGCCAGGGGAGCAAACGGG